CAACAUUUGCAGUGGUAAUCUCGAAGUUGAUUCCAUAGCAGAACUUGGCUACCAGCUCGAAUACUUCUGCACCACCUGGUAUUUCCAGUAACUUGAUUUGUGAUGGAUCUAAGUCUCUUGUCUCCACAACCAGCUUCCGUAUUCUUCCACUCCGUGACACAAGUGGGAACUGUUAGCACAUUAAACAGGCAAGUUUGAGAAAACUUCAAUAGUUCUUUGGGAGUUCUGUGAUUGCUAAUGGUGCUGGAAUGUAAAGGAGAUGAUGUAUGAAUUCACCCACCUUGUGGAGUGCAAAGCUCGUACCUGCAACUUCCACGGAUAUAUC
This 325-nucleotide long non-coding RNA is filed under the name Selaginella moellendorffii. Its description in RNAcentral is "long non-coding RNA (SMOE_LNC000062)". Lineage: Eukaryota; Viridiplantae; Streptophyta; Lycopodiopsida; Selaginellales; Selaginellaceae. The record is from RNAcentral.